UAUGCGACAAGGCAUAAAAUAUGCAUAUCAAAGACUAGAUACAUUUGCAUGUGUUAGGCAAAAUGGUUGAACAAGCAAUUGAGCAAAUUAUGGCCUUUUGUUGCAGAGGUGCAUACUUUGGCUUUCUGUUUCGGUGUUUUGGAUUUUCUGGCGGUUGAAUUGAAAGCAUCAAAGGACUUCUCUAAGUUAUAUGCAGGCAUGGCAAUAC
Gossypium arboreum is the source of this 208-nucleotide long non-coding RNA. RefSeq lists it as uncharacterized. NCBI's taxonomy places the organism in Eukaryota, Viridiplantae, Streptophyta, Magnoliopsida, Malvales, Malvaceae. The transcript is spliced from 3 exons. The record is from RefSeq and is a predicted model, not a curated record.